RNAcentral lists this ribosomal RNA (374 nucleotides) under uncultured bacterium. RNAcentral describes it as "bacterial SSU rRNA". It matches the Rfam family "Bacterial small subunit ribosomal RNA", at positions 521 to 896 of the family's 1533-position model. The record is from RNAcentral.
UAAUACGAAUGGAGCGAGCGUUGUUCGGAAUCACUGGGCGUAAAGCGUGCGCAGGCGGUUGUGAAAGUCAGGAGUGAAAUCCCAGGGCUUAACCCUGGAAUUGCUUUUGAAACUUCACGACUAGAGUACUGGAGGGGUUGGCGGAAUUUCGAGUGUAGCAGUGAAAUGCGUAGAUAUUCGAAGGAACACCGAUGGCGUAGGCAGCCAACUGGACAGUUACUGACGCUCAUGCACGAAAGCGUGGGGAUCAAACAGGAUUAGAUACCCUGGUAGUCCACGCCGUAAACGAUGUGUGCUAGUUGUCGGGAUCUUAGAUCUCGGUGACGCAGCUAACGCUUUAAGCACACCGCCUGGGGAGUACGGUCGCAAGAUUA